UGACAAGUUGUGCGUGUGCGUCCCC
Molecule: non-coding RNA, 25 nt
Filed under: Rattus norvegicus (Norway rat)
Lineage: Eukaryota; Metazoa; Chordata; Mammalia; Rodentia; Muridae
Source: RNAcentral